This 445-nucleotide ribosomal RNA is filed under the name uncultured bacterium. Its description in RNAcentral is "SSU rRNA". It matches the Rfam family "Bacterial small subunit ribosomal RNA", at positions 26 to 518 of the family's 1533-position model. The record is from RNAcentral.
AGAACGAACGCUGGCGGCAUGCCUAACACAUGCAAGUCGAACGAGACCUUCGGGUCUAGUGGCGCACGGGUGCGUAACGCGUGGGAAUCUGCCCAAAGGUUCGGAAUAACUCAGGGAAACUUGAGCUAAUACCGGAUGAUGUCGCAAGACCAAAGAUUUAUCGCCUUUGGAUGAGCCCGCGUAGGAUUAGCUUGUUGGUGGGGUAAAGGCUCACCAAGGCUACGAUCCUUAGCUGGUCUGAGAGGAUGAUCAGCCACACUGGGACUGAGACACGGCCCAGACUCCUACGGGAGGCAGCAGUGGGGAAUAUUGGACAAUGGGCGAAAGCCUGAUCCAGCAAUGCCGCGUGAGUGAUGAAGGCCCUAGGGUUGUAAAGCUCUUUACCCGGGAAGAUAAUGACUGUACCGGGAGAAUAAGCCCCGGCUAACUCCGCGCCAGCAGCCGC